ACCGGGCGGCGUCGGGAGAGGUUCCAGCCUAGGGAGGGUUUACCAUUUUUCGUUAGCGAGGGGAGCGGUUCUAGCGUAGACGAGGCCUAUGGAUCUGGUUUUCUUUAUUAAAUCGUUUGGUUUUUGGAGGGUUGAAAAAAAAUCUGUGGGAGGAAAAAAAUUGUGGAAGGAGAACGUGGGUGGGAGGGCUUCCAGCAUAGAAGGGGAUCGCUGCUGGUCGAACCAUCACGACAGACGGUAGAUCCCCUUUAAUAAUAGAGAAUAGAGAUUACAACUUAUGAUUACAUGCAUGACUCGACGAUGUGGAAUAGUUGUAUGAAGAAAAUAAAUAAAUAACAGAUUACAACUAUUUAAGAAUAGAGGAUUUCAUGUGAUGUCCCUUCAAUCCAACCAAUCACCAAAUUACAUGUUUUGUGAUAUCAUAUGUAUUUUCAGACACAUUGUGAUAUCAUAUGGUUCCUCUCACCAAUCACUUAACUAAAACGGUACCUAUUCAUUCAGUUAAUUCAAACCUUUCAGAGCAGUUCAAUUCCAUUUUACUUGAAAGAUGAACCAACGUAUACGGAGUCCUACAAACUGAGACCAAAGUAGUAGUACACCGUUUCUUUUUCUUCAGAUUUAUUUUGUGUUUAAUUUUCCCUC
Molecule: long non-coding RNA, 642 nt
Filed under: Hordeum vulgare
Lineage: Eukaryota; Viridiplantae; Streptophyta; Magnoliopsida; Poales; Poaceae
Description: long non-coding RNA (HVUL_LNC012311)
Source: RNAcentral